RNAcentral lists this ribosomal RNA (241 nucleotides) under uncultured bacterium. Its description in RNAcentral is "partial 16S ribosomal RNA". It matches the Rfam family "Bacterial small subunit ribosomal RNA", at positions 100 to 334 of the family's 1533-position model. The record is from RNAcentral.
CGGGACGGGUGAGUAACACGUGGAUAACUACCUAUAAGACUGGGAUAACUUCGGGAAACCGGAGCUAAUACCGGAUAAUAUAUUGAACCGCAUGGUUCAAUAGUGAAAGACGGUUUUGCUGUCACUUAUAGAUGGAUCCGCGCCGCAUUAGCUAGUUGGUAAGGUAACGGCUUACCAAGGCAACGAUGCGUAGCCGACCUGAGAGGGUGAUCGGCCACACUGGAACUGAGACACGGUCCAG